Molecule: ribosomal RNA, 239 nt
Filed under: uncultured bacterium
Lineage: Bacteria
Description: partial 16S ribosomal RNA
Rfam family: Bacterial small subunit ribosomal RNA
Source: RNAcentral
CCGGCACGGGUGAGUAACACGUAUCCAACCUGCCGUCUACUCUUGGCCAGCCUUCUGAAAGGAAGAUUAAUCCAGGAUGGCAUCAUGAGUUCACAUGUCCGCAUGAUUAAAGGUAUUUUCCGGUAGACGAUGGGGAUGCGUCCCAUUAGAUAGUAGGCGGGGUAACGGCCCACCUAGUCAACGAUGGAUAGGGGUUCUGAGAGGAAGGUCCCCCACAUUGGAACUGAGACACGGUCCAA